AACUAGUAUUGACAAAGUUUUCCAACUUAGAAACGCUCUCCGUAACAUUUCUGACCAUUCUAAAAAAUGCAUUUUCUUAUUUGACUGGGUUAGUCAAAUAAGAUUUAUAUUUUGGCGGGAAGCCCUUCGAUUAUUUCCGUAAAUGUUCGGAUCUGAGUCACGUGAUAUGAUUUACCAAACCAAAAUAAUGGCGGACAAUACGAAAGGUGUGUCACGUAUACGAGAAAUAAAUUUUGAGAUUGGGAAAGGAAAAAGCGAAAAGUGGAAAGAAACUUGAUUUAAUUCAAUCAAGGAUAUACUCCGGUAGUGAUUCAAAGCGAUGAAAAGUUCUAAAAAGGGUAAUUAAAACCAAAAGCGACCGUGAAGUUGUUAUCUGAUUGACAGAAUUAAAUCAAUUUCAUCGUCAUCAUGUGUUGCAAUACCACUACCAGGGACAUCAAAGAUGACCUGGACUUCAGUGCAUAUGCAGAGGAGAGUAGCACUAAAGAAAGCCAAUAAAAUCCUUUUGGAGUUGAAUUGAGACACAACCAUUCAUUUCUGGUUUAGUUAUAAAACUGCUACAGACUAUAAACUAUUCAUGAUGAUGGAAUACACCAAUGCCUAGUACAAUCAUGGCCCAUUAGAAACCAGAACAAACCAUGACUGCAAAGGAAAUAAGAUGCACAUAGUCUGAAAGAUCUGGCUGGUGUUCUGAAUAAGAUGACUGCAGAAGUACAGCUGGCAUGUAGGGGUUUCACCAGCACAUCUUGAUGUAUUGUACAAAAGAUUUGCUUACACACUACCUGUUUAUAGGAUGCACAAUCUUCUUGAAGCCAUAGAUUAUAAUAUACAUGCAAAUAGACCAUACAUCACCAACAAGGGGGAUCUGUUAGACUUCAGCGAGUCUGGAUGAAUUAAAGAAGAAGAAAAAGUAUCAUUAUACCAUUUUUCAUGAUGCUAUAACUCUGAGAAUUAGUGACAUGGAGGGGAUAUAUAAAAUAGAAAGUUAGAGGAAGAUGACCCCCACAGACUUUCAAAAUAUUUGGCCCAAGUUAGCCCGAAAGCCUACCCGAGCCAUUCAUGAGGAACAUAAAUCAAGAUAUGAUUGACUUUUUAUGGGAAAGAAUGAUAAAUAGUGUUGUGUUACACUGAUUGCCCAACUAUUCAAACAUAUUUAAGCUGACAUUGAACACCUGGUAUUCAUGAUAGUUUUAUGAAAUAUCUUUUUAGAUAUGGCACUGUAUCUAUCUUGUUUCGAAAAAAAAUUCUCUUGAUUCAUUUGUCAUGACUCAAGGUCUGUUUUUAAUAUUUUGUCAGAAAAAUGACUACUUUUUAUACAAGUGCAAAAUAUUAUCCAAUCUAUUAAAGUAUAAGUGCUGCUAUGAGCUUUAAUGUAGUAACAAAGUUAAAAGUAUUAUUCAAUUAUAUCUUUUGAUAUACAUGUACUAUGUCAUUCACUUUAGCUCAGCUUUUCUUUUUUUUUUUUUUUUUUGAAAAAAGAAAUAGAGGUUGCUGCCGUUGCCUUCUGCAAACUUGAACCUUGUUCAUAACUUUUAAAGUUCUUGGUGUAUUGUCUAACCUUGGCCUUCUUUCAUAAUUGACCUUGACCUUCAAGGUUAAAUGUCUAAAUUUUGGCUUUGCUUGUUAUUUGCUAUUAGUGGCUUUAACUUUAUUGCCCUUUGUUAAUUUUCAUAUUUCAUUUUUGUCUUGGCCAUUUCUCCUAAACUAUAUUGUUCACAAGGCAACACAUCCGACUCGCGGAGAUCUAGUUGUUAUUAGUCUAUGAAUUGUUUGUAGUCCAAUCUAGUUUAUUAGACCAAUGACACAGGGGCAUUUUAUAUAAAAUCCUUGUUCAAUCAAACAAGGCAAGCCUUAAAAUUAUCUUUGUAUUUACUCCCUCAUCCCAUUCCAGUUUAGAUAGGAUAGGUGGGCUGAUAAAAUAUUUAUUUUUGUGCCCCCACUUUAGUGGCGGGCAUUUAGAUUUACCUUUGUCCGUCUGUCCGUAUUUCACCUAGAGUCAUGAAACUUUACUGUAAUGUUGAUCAGCAAGUGUAGUUGUUCACCUCGGUAUUUUCAUCUGGAUAUUUUUAGUAUUUUCAGAGUUACUGCCAUUGAAUUUUUGCAAUUUUCAACUUGUGUCGCAUGUUACUCAAGAAGUAUUUGACCUACAGCAAUGAAACUUUACAGGAAUGUUGAACAUUAUGUGUAGUUGUGCACCUAGGUAUUUUCGUCUGGAUUUAGUAUUUUGAGAGUUAUGGCCCUUGACUUAGUAAAAUUUUGCAAUUUUCAACUUGUGUGGCAUGUAACUCAAAAAGUAUUUGACUUAGAGUCAUGAAACUUUACAGGAAUGUUGAUCAGCAUGUGUAGUUGCGCAUCUGGGUAUUUUCGUCUGGAAUUAUUUAGGAUUUUUAGAGUUAUUGCCCUUGACUUGGUAAAAUUUUGCAGUUUUCAACUUGUGUCACAUGUAACUCAAAAAGGAUUUGACAUAGAGUCAUUAAACCUUACGGGAAGGUUGCUCAGCAUAUUUAGUUUUGCACCUGGGGUUUGGCUUGUGGAUUUAUCCAGUAUUUGUAGAGUUAUUUCCCUUGACUUAGUAAAAAACAUUUCAUUAUGUUGUUAUUUGUUCCUUGAGUGCUUGAGUGAGAAUCAACCAACUUUACAGGAAUAAUGAUCAACAUCACUAAAUUACAGGAAUAAUGAUUUACAUCACUGUGAAGAUAUGAACCUGGGACUUUCAUGUGGAUUUUUUUCAGUUU
This is a long non-coding RNA of Ruditapes philippinarum (Manila clam), 2735 nucleotides long. RefSeq lists it as uncharacterized. NCBI's taxonomy places the organism in Eukaryota, Metazoa, Mollusca, Bivalvia, Venerida, Veneridae. The transcript has 6 exons. The record is from RefSeq and is a predicted model, not a curated record.